Molecule: long non-coding RNA, 294 nt
Organism: Carassius gibelio (silver crucian carp)
Lineage: Eukaryota; Metazoa; Chordata; Actinopteri; Cypriniformes; Cyprinidae
Exons: 3
Source: RefSeq, a predicted model, not a curated record
CUAAAAUUGAUGUGGUGAAGGAGUACUGCAGGAGUAUCAAGAAAUAGAAACUAAUAGAUGCCACAAGAAGACAAAUGAUCAACAUACUGGUGGCUCACAUGAUUGAUACACAUGGGCAACUCCCUACUAAAGCUAUCAGAGAACCGUAUGCUCUUGGCAUAGUGAUACUGUUCCCUCAAAGAUCCAUAUUCCAAGAAAGGCUUUGAACACUUUUAUGAUGAUGCAAGCAACAUAGGAUACAUUGCUUGGUAUAUGAAAACAGUCCACAGGAAGAUUAGACGAGGAUCUUUGCCA